This is a non-coding RNA of Equus caballus (horse), 6961 nucleotides long. Lineage: Eukaryota; Metazoa; Chordata; Mammalia; Perissodactyla; Equidae. The record is from RefSeq and is a predicted model, not a curated record.
GACCAUUUUUUUGAACUGAUUUUCACUGAAAAUUGUAUCAAAGUUUUUCCUGUCAUUAUUUUUGUAAAACAUGAUUUUAAAUAAAGUAUGCAGUUUUCUCUCAAAAAAUACAGUUAAGAAUCCACCUUCUUUUUCUUAAUUUGCUAUUUUCCUAAUACAUAUUUAUACCUAUAAAAGAAUUAGCGCAACGUAGAAAACUUUCAGUCUAAUUUCUUUAUCUAGCUCAGUUGUCUAAAGGCUUAUCUGACAAUAUGAAGUAUGUUACUAACCUUUGUGUUGGAUCCACUCUUUGAUUACCUUUUUUCAGUUAUCUCUCCUUUUCUACCAAGAGCUUCUAAUUUCUGGGAUGUUUCUGAGUGGUGAUAUAUUGCACUCUUUCAAACAAGGUGGUUCUGUUGACCUAUUUGGUAAUUUCAGUUACUCCAUUUUGUAACUUUUUGAUCAUCUACUAUAUUACAGUUUUUGAAUUUUCGAUUCCUCAUUCAGGAAGUAAGAAUUCUGAAGUGUGAAUUCUGAUUACUAUUUGACAACACAGAUUUGUGAUACUCCUAAAAUACUUACUUCCGUAUUUUCCUCUUCUUUGUAUUACCCAUUAUGGAAUAUAAGUAGAUUUCCACAUGUGUAACAGAAAUAAUCUAAGCCGAAUAGACUUAGGUCCUAGCUCAAAUUAUUUAUGCUUAACACAGUUUAUCCACUGCUUGCUGCUUUUUUUGACUAUUUACUUUGGCAAAAUUUUGUUCACAUGGUAUUUAUUACGUGAAUUCAAAAUGAAUUGAGAGUUAUAUACUCUGUGGAAUGCUAGCCGUCUGUCACCUGGGAAUGUAACCCUUAUUCUCAGUUUUUCUGCAUGCUUUGUUGCCACCGAUCUUUCUGGGUAAACUUAAAUUAAGGCGUUUUCCUCCCUCAUGACCUCUUGCAACUUUUUAGUAAUGUGAAUAAUUGUGAUGACAGACUUAAUUUGAGUAUGAAAAUAUGAGGGAAAAAAGUCAUUACAUUUAACUCAAAUUAACUGUUAAUUUUGUGAAACUGGAUAGUAAGAGCAAACCGAAUUUUCUAAUGUCAAAUAAAAGCUAAUUUCUUGAGUUGAGUUUUUCAAGGGUUUGAUAUAGUGCAAGGGAUGAAUUCAAAAGUAACAAUUUUAUUUGAUGACAAAUUAGAAGAAUAAAAUAUUCAAUUCAAAGCAUAUAUAUAUACACAUACAUAUAUAUAUGUAUACUUUAAAUAAAGAUUUCCAAUAUUCUCAAAUUUACUAGAUAGAUUCUUAUAGUUAUACCACAGGGUCAUAACUCAUUUUGGAUACACAGAAAGAGAAAAAUAAGUUAAUAUUGAGUUAUUCUUCUAAAGAAAACUUGAAUCUCAAUAGGGAAAAAGGAACAAUUAAAGGGCUAUUUAAAAUCGUUGAAAAAGAAAAAAGUACACCAAAACUCAAAUUUUAUUAAUAACUCCUCUGCUAGUAGCAUAACUACAGACAAUACUAAAAAAUGCCUACAUAAAAAAAAGGAAUAAACAGGUAACAUCCAUUAUAAUAGGAAAAUGAAUUACCACAUAAAAUACGGCUUUUGAGAGUUUUCUACAGAUUUUAUGAAAAAAUAAGUAAAGCAUUCUUAAUAAUAUCAUUUGGGAAUGUAGACUGAUGGACUAUAUUAUAAAACAUUACUAUAAUACUAAACAAACCAAUAAUUCUUCAUAUUAUACAUUAUUGGUUUCAAGUCACCAUAAUAUAUAAACUAACUUUCUGAUUAAAGCUACUUAAACUUUCUAAAAACAAAUUAUUUUUUUCACCUAAAGCAAAUAUUCAUUUAAUAACUUAUAGUUGAUUUAUUUAUUCUAUGUAUCCUGCCUAAUUUGUAUUCAAUUUCCUUAAUAUUCAAAUGUGGUCACAGUAAAAUAUACUUUAGCAAAAGAAAAUGGACAAAGAAAAACAAGAACAUAGCAGUUUUUCCACCCCAAGUUACUAUCCUUUUCUGAAUAUCCUAGUUUGCAUGCUAUAUAGACUAUACAAUAUUUAAAACAAAAUUUCAAAUGCAUUGCUUACUUGAUGACUUCAUUUUUGAAACCGAGUAUUUCAGUAAACUUUGUCCUGCUUCAAGAGAACAGAGCUCCAUUUAAAAAGGCAGUGAAUGGUUUCAGCAUGAUCUUUUCCUUUAUGUUUUAUUUAAAAUGUUAAUGGAGUAAAUCCACAAUUCGCAUAAUUUAUUUCGAAACACUUUUGUUCAGAAUAAUGCAUUGUGAGAACAGUGAUAUACAGGCAAGUUUCCUUCAAGAACAUGCAUCAGUUCAGCUCCCUUUUGAAGCAUAUUGCAAAUGCCCUCUAACAGGGCACAGCAACAUAACAUAAAUCAUCUUAUAUGAAAAAUUAACAUGACAUCAAAUAUUUAUAAAUAUUAAUGUGUAUGUUAAUAUAACCAAAGCUGUAACAAACAAUCAUAACCUUGCCAAGUUUCCUAGGACAGGCGCCGCUGAUAAUGAUAUCCAUUAUGUCGGGAGGAACGCACAAUUAUGAAAGUUAUAUACAGGAUGCUAUGUUCUUAGUUGCUUUUAGAUUUACCCAUUAAACGUCUACCUUAUAUACCAUAUUAACCCUUUAUGCACACAUUCUUAGGAAACAGAAAGGCAGUUCAGGUGAAUAGGUAGUUUUUAAAUCAUUGUUAUUUAAUCAUUUACAUGAAAAGUCUCUGAUUAUUCAUACAACUUUAUGCAUCAUUGGAGUAUAUCGUAUCCUACGAAUAAAUUCACUUGGAUUGAUCACAUUAAUAUGUGUUCAACACUACACACGCGUUUAAAGGUAUGCAUGCUACACCGUGGUCAAGAAAGCCACCCUUGGCAAAGAUGGGUUGGGGAUUUGGGGCUCUGAAAUGUAAUAUGCUGUGUGAUCUCUACUCUGUCCAGGAAAUCUCUCUUUCAAAGUGUCCAUGCUGAGAAUGGGGUGGGAGUGGGUAGUUCUUGGGUUUGCUGGCACUCAGGGGAGCCAAGUCCAUAGGUAGAGUUUUUGAUCAGACCCUACGGGGCCCACAGGUCAUAGAUGGUCAGCCAGGCAAAGUUUUGUUUCGAGUUUCAGCACUGUUGGCAGGUACGGUUAAUUUAGUCAAUGGACGUUAAAACAAUGUGACUUCAGACAAGAGGAAGAAAAGGGCCACCAUUUUAUCUAUGUGCGUAACGUGCUGGCUCAGGUAAAUGAGGUUUGGAAUCUAAUGGGUUUUCAUGGGCAAAGCAAGAAGGUAACUUUGUAUGAGGACAGACAUACUUUUGGAUUGAAGAUGUUUGUUUCCCUGAAAAAUACCUCAGUAAGAAGCCUCCUGAAUCCCCUUCCUGCCCCCAAACCUGCUCCCAACUUAGUACACUCUUCAUCUUAAAGCACCAACUUCUAUUUCCAGUAUGACUCCUGAGUGUUACAACAGACUCUGCUUUUGCGGUGUUGGAUGCUGGAAAGAAUCUGCUCUAUGUUGCUUAUGGUGGGGAUGGGUUUACCCAUGGGUAUGGUGGAGAAUUGUGAACGGUAUUUCCAUUUUAAAGUUUUUUGUCCUUCUCCUGGAUGUAGGGUUGAGUUUGGGCAUUUUGAUUCUGGAUAAUUCAACUUAUUUUACGCUCUGAAAAACUAAAUAUGGAACGAGUAAUGUCUCAAGUGGCCAAAAUAUGUCACCCAAAAAUAUCUUCCAAUUAGAGAUUCAUUUUAUUGCAAAUCUUUAAAAAAUAUAAUUGACUUUAGAUGAGAUGUUAAGCCUAACACACGCUUUAAUGCUAAUUAUUUUAGUUAGAUAAGAGAUCAGUACUUAAGUGAUAUGAUUCUUAACUGAGUCAGAAUUUUGAAGGGAAUGCAAAGAAAAAGGGUGAAUUUGCAGACUAGACACUACUUUGUUACUUGUUAAUUUAAAUAUGUAUUCUGGACAUAGUCUUUCAGCUCCCCCAAAAUAUGUUACCGUAUUUUGCGAUCGGCAAUUUAACCUCUCAUCCAUAUUAUUGUAUUAUCUAUUUUUAGCCAUUAUCUAAAACAUGUAGUUAUUUCUUCCAUCUUAAAAAAACAGCCUUAUCUUGAUUUCCCUGCCAGCUGCGACCUCUUUUAAAUUUAAUUAAUUAAUUUAGUUUUGCUCCCUCUGUAGGAAAAGUCCUUAAAGGUUGCCCAUGCUAGAUGUCUCCAAAUGCUCUACGUCUGCCCAUCUUCCUUAAAUCCAAUCAAACUUUCAUCCCUGCCAUUCCACAGAAACCACUCCAGUCAAGGUGGCCAAAGAUCUCCACGUUACUAAAUCCCAAGGUCAAUUCUCAGUCUUCAUUUGACUUGAAUCCAUCAGCAGCGUUUAUACAGUUUAUCGCUUCACUCUUCUUGGUACACUUUCCUUCACGUGAAUUUCAGGACACCAGAGUCUCCUGAUUUUUGUAUUUCACUAGCUAUUCCUUUCAGGCUCCUUCACUGACUCAUAUUCCCAAUCUUUUAAUUUGGGAAUAUCCCAGGGCUCAGUCCUUGUUCCUUUUUCUUUAUCUUUCUAGACUCAUUCCCUUGGUGAACUCUUCACUCUCAAAGCUUUAGUACCAUUUAUAUGCUGACAUCUCCCAUUUUGAUAUUUCCUGUUCAGAUCUCUCUCUCUCCUUAAAUUCAGAUUCAUAUAUGCAGUUAUCUAUGUAACAUUUCUAUUUGGUUGCCUAAAUAGGUAAUUUCAAAUAAAUAUGUGCAAAACACAACUCUUGAACUCUAAAAUCCACUCCUUCUGCAGUCUUUCCCAUCGCAGUCAAUGGCUGCUCCAACGCUUUCAGUUAGUCUAGCCAAAAUCCUUGGUGGUCAUAUUGGACUCUUCUCUUUUUCUCACUCCUCUCCUCUAACCUAUCAGGAAAUACUUUUUAGCUCUACUUUAAAAAUACAUUCAGAAUUGGAACUAUUCUCCACUUCCAUCAUUAUUAUACUCAGCUACAAUCAUCUUUUGCCAAAUUUUUGCAAUAGCCUCCUAACUCUUCUCCCUGUAUCUACACUUGCCCCUUUACUGUCUAUUCUCAACCCAGCAACCAGAGAGAACCUUCUAAAAUAUAAGUCAGACAGUGUCAUGCCUUUGCUCAAAAUCCUGCCAUGCUUCUACCUGUCACUCAGCUCAAAAGCCAUAAUCCAUAUAAUGACUUCUGAGGGCCUGUUACCACUUUGACCUUAACUUCUAGAACUCUCCUUCUUUUUCAUUUCACUCUAGGCACACUAAUUUCCUUGCUGGUCCUUAACCACACCAGGCAUGCUUGGCACUAGGCAUUUCACUUGCUCAGAACCCUUAUGACUGACUCCCUCACUUCUUUGUAUCACUUCCUUGAAGUCUUUAUUCAAAGUUCUUUUUCUCAAUGAGGUUUAAUUAGACUGCCCUAUUUAAAGUUGCAAAUGACUCUUCCCCCAACCACUGGCACUCUUGAUUUCACAGACCCUGCUCUUGUGUACAUAUACUUUUCACAGCUAUCACUACUUUAUAACAUUCUAGAUAAUUUGCCUAUUUGUUAUAUGUAUGUAUAUACACACAUUUUUUUAUUUAUUUCUUUUUUUAGGUCACCCCCACAAGAAUGUAAGGUUUAUGAGGAUAGAGAUCUUUGUUAUGUUUGCUAAUGUAUCCCAAACAUCCAGAAUGGAGGCUGGCACAAAACAGAAAAUCCUACUACUGUUUGCCAGUGUCUGAGUUAAGAUUGAAGAACUUGUCUGAUAGACUCACAGCCUUAACUCCUUACAUCGAAUCCCAGUCUCCUCAGGGAAUGUUGGAGAGAAAUCCCUUUUUGCUUCUAUCAGACGGAGGACAAAAAGAACCAUUUGGAAAUAUACUAGAGAAUUCUGUUCUUUUUAAUAAAGCCUGCCCUCAGGAGAAACCGUUUUACUAGAGUCUAACCUGUUGGGGUUGUAUCAGAGCCUAACUGACCUGGCGGAAGGGAAACACACAGCUCUAUUCCCCUCCAGCCUUCCAUGUGGGGGAAGGGAAAUACACAAGCCCAGCCCCCUCUUGCCAUCCUGUCCCAUCUAAGGUGGGGAGUCGGGGGUGUGGUGGUGGGACUGAGAAGCAUUGGUGGAGUUGACAGUCCAGGGUCACAGAUGCAGCAAAACACUGAGAUCUAAUAAUAAGAUUAUAAAAUGCUUCCCCUUCCCCCAACACCUUACGGUUAUAUUACUAAAGGCCUAUAUUCCCAGUACAUUAUGUCUGCCUUUCAACCAAAAGUUGCAAAGCAUGUGAAAAGGCAAAGAUGAAGAUAUUGGCAAGCAUCAGAACCAGAGUCAGAAUGGCAGGAACGUUGGAAUUAUCAGACCAGGGAUUUAAAAGAACACCUCUGAUUAAUACACUAAGAGCUUUAAUGGAAAAAAUAGACAACAUGCAGGAACAGAUUGAUAGUGUAACAGAGAGAUGGAAAUUCUAAGAAUCAAAAGGAAAUGGUACAGGUUAAAAAUGCUAGAACAGAAAUGAAGAAUGUCGCUGAUGGGCUCAUGAGUAGAUGGGACAUGAGUGAGGAAAGAAUCUCUGAGCUCGAGGAUAUGACAAUAGGAACUUCUAAAACUGAAAAUCAAAGGGAAAAGAGACUGAAAAAAAGAGAACAAAAUAUCCAAGGACUGUGGAAUGUCUACAAAAAGUGUAAUGUAUGUGUAAUUUGGAAUACCAGAAGGAAAAGAAAGACAGAAAGGAACAGAAGCAGUAUUUGAAGCAAUAGUGACUGAGAAUUUCCUGAAAUUAAUAUCAGACACCAAAUCUCAGAUCCAGGAAACACGGAAAACAUAACUUUCCAGAGAACCAUACCUGGGCAUAUCAUAUUCAAACUUCAGAAAAUCAAAGAUAAAGAAAAAAUAUUGAAAGAAGCCAGAGGAAAAAACACCUUACUUCUAGUGGAGCAAAAACAAGAAUCACAUCCAACUUUUCCUCAGAAACCAUGCAACCAAAGUUAACGUAUUGAGAGAAAAAACCACCAACCUAGAAUUUUGUACCCUGUGAAAUUGUCCUUCAAAAUUGGAAGAGAAAUAAAAACU